Molecule: ribosomal RNA, 403 nt
Filed under: Verrucomicrobiota bacterium
Lineage: Bacteria; Pseudomonadati; Verrucomicrobiota
Description: Verrucomicrobia bacterium partial 16S ribosomal RNA
Rfam family: Bacterial small subunit ribosomal RNA
Source: RNAcentral
UGGGGAAUAUUGCACAAUGGAGGGAACUCUGAUGCAGCGACGCCGCGUGAACGAAGAAGGCUUUCGAGUCGUAAAGUUCUUUUAUAUGGGAUGAAAAUGACAGUACCAUAAGAAUAAGGUCCGGCUAAAUACGUGCCAGCAGCCGCGGUAAUACGUAUGGACCGAGCGUUGUCCGGAAUCAUUGGGCGUAAAGGGUACGUAGGCGGCCCAGUAAGUUAGAAGUGAAAUAAUAUAGCUCAACUAUAUAAAGCUUUUAAAACUGCUAGGCUUGAGAGAUGGAAGGGAAAGUGGAAUUCCUAGUGUAGCGGUGAAAUGCGCAGAUAUUAGGAAGAAUACCGGUGGCGAAGGCGACUUUCUGGUCAUCAUCUGACGCUGAGGUACGAAAGCGUGGGUAGCAAACAGG